ACCUGUACCCAUGCCGAACACAGCAGUUAAGCCCUAGAACGCCUGAAGUAGUUGGGGGUUGCCCCCUGUUAGAUACGGUAGUCGCUUAGC
This 90-nucleotide ribosomal RNA is filed under the name Streptococcus suis. The record is from RNAcentral. Lineage: Bacteria; Bacillati; Bacillota; Bacilli; Lactobacillales; Streptococcaceae.